RNAcentral lists this small nuclear RNA (333 nucleotides) under Jaculus jaculus (lesser Egyptian jerboa). RNAcentral describes it as "7SK RNA (ENSJJAG00000001676.1)". It matches the Rfam family "7SK RNA". From Rfam's summary of the family: 7SK was discovered as an abundant small nuclear RNA in the mid-70s but a possible function has only recently been suggested. Two independent studies have found that 7SK RNA binds the CDK9/cyclin T complex (known as elongation factor P-TEFb). The record is from Rfam by way of RNAcentral. Lineage: Eukaryota; Metazoa; Chordata; Mammalia; Rodentia; Dipodidae.
GGAUGUGAGGGCCACCUGACUGUGACAUCUGUCCCUUCAUUGAUCUCCAGGGCCAAUUUGGCUAUGUGGCUGGCUGGGCAGGUGUCUCCCUCCUCCCUUACUGUUCCAGUUGCAUUCCUUCCCAGUCUGUGUGUUUAGUCAAAGAGGAUGAUCUUCCCUGAAGCGAGGAGGACCAUUCUUAGGCCAAGGUCAUCUGAGUAGCUGUGCUCCCUGCUAGGACCUCCAAACAUGCUCCCAAGACAACACUGCAGAACAUUAUAAUGGUACAGUGAUGCAGGGUGUGAUAGUAAGUUAACCACUGACAGAGUUAUGUGCAGCAUAAGGCUGCUUCAU